AGGCCAGGAGGCGGGUAGAUUCCUCCUCCUCUCUAGAUAAUUUAAACAGUCCAUCCCUCCUUCCCACAGGAGGCUGUCGAGGAGAGCCAGAAUAAAAUUCCAGAGCGGUGGGCAGAGCUUGAGUCAUUGGUGGCGGGGCCAGAUUGCACACAAUUCUUUGUAUCUUUGUAGACAAUGCUACAUAUGUACAAAAUAAACCCCAAGAUGUUAGUACAUCAAUCGAGGAAAAUUAUCAAACUACAUAAAUAACAUGGUGUAAUUUGAUUUUGAUAUAAUUUUUUUAUCUUGAUGGAUUGAAAAUUAACACCGAUGAGUUGACUGAUGAAUAUUAUGACAUAAUAUAAAUAACGACAAAUAAAUAUAGAAUACUAUUAACCGCAACAUGUAAGUGUAAAAAAAAAAAAAAAAAAAAAAAUUAUGAUUUGUACAUUUUUAGAAUGUGCUUGUUCUAUUUUUAAACAAAGAAAACAAUCUGAAGUUUUCUUUAUUUUUAAGUUAUCGUGCUGUGAUUUUACCAGUCCGGCCCACUUGGGAGUAGAUUUUUCUCCAUGUGGCCCCCGAUUUAAAAUGAGUUUGACACCCCUGCUUUAAACCGACAAACACAAAUCCUCCACUUUAAGAUUUUACAGGAGAUGCCAGCCACCUCAAUGAGAACACCUGUGACAGCACAUGCUGGACUACAGAGCCGGCCCAAUGCAUAAGCGUACUAAGCGCUUGCUUAGGGCCCCGCGGCCACCAGGGGGCCCCCAAAAGCAAUUAACAAAAAAUUCUUAUUUUUUAUUUUUUGCAUGUACGAGUCUGACUGAUGAUUUCUAAAUGAUCAAAGAUAUAUUAUUGUACAAAAACACAAUUUUAGGUCAACAGAGUGCUGCUGCUGAUCUAGGCCUAGUGAUUCUUCCUGCCUCUCUUUAAAUGUAAAGCUGCCUCUGCUGCACCUGUGACGUUUGCCGCACUGGGCAUCAAAAGCGCAGAUAGAGGCAAAACAAUGUCACAAAAAAGAACAUAUCCUUCAGGUGCAGAAAAAAGGAAGAAGAAGAAAGUGGAAGAGGAGAAAAAAUGCCAUGAUAAAGGUAUGUUUGCUUGACUUGGUAAUAAAAAGUUUAUCAAAGAGAUUUGUAGCUGUAAUUAGCUUUAGCUAGGUGACGUUAGCUAGCUAGCGCGGUGCUAGCAAUAUGUUUUUAGCAUCAGGUUACUAGUGAGAUAUGUUAUUUGCACAAAUUGUUUGCAGCAGAGCACGGUAAUUUAUGUGAGUAAAAUAAACAUUAUUUUUUACAUCAACUCAUAAGUUAUGUGAAACUUCCCCAGGAGCAUUGUUAAAAUACUUUGGAGGCACAGAAUCAGCCCAGAGCCAGUCCACAUCCUCAGGCUCAACUGUGAGUGAUGAAUCAGGUCCAUCUCCAUCCUCUACAGUGCUCUCUCACACACCUCCAUCCUCUGUGCCCACUGUCCCCUCCAUGUCUGAAACCACAGCUGAUUUAUCUACAAUUUCCACCACAACGUCCUCUUCACACCAUGGAGCAUCAUCAGCUCCGCCAGUUGACCCAGCUGAGUGGCCUUCUUUCCUCUCAGAUUCAGACAGGACUGAGCAGGUGAUCAGAGGACCACUGUCUAUUAAGGAGAACUUUUCAUUCCCCAAACGGCAUGAUGGCCGAAGUUUUCAUCAUCAUUAUACCUACAGACAGCUAGUCAAUGGGGAAAAAGUCAAGCGUAGCUGGCUGACUUAUUCAAAAAGGAAAGAUGCAGUCUAUUGCUUUUGCUGAAAAUUAUUUUCCAAAAAGUCCUUAAAACUGGCAGCCGAGGGACAGCGGGAUUGGGUCAACAUAGGUGCACUGCUGAAACAGCAUGAAAACACUGAAGAUCAUUGUAGCAACAUGGUGAAAUGGAAGGAAUUUGCCUUGCGUCUUUCAAAGGGGAAAACUAUUGAUGAGACAGAAAUUGGCCUCCUGGAGGCAGAAAAGAAUUGCUGGAGAGACGUUCUCACACGCUUAGUCACUAUUAUCCAGUCACUGGCAGAAAGGAACCUGGCACUGAGGGGAUCUGUUGACACAUUACAUCAGGCGAACAAUGGGAACUUUCUAAAAGAAGUGGAACUGAUUGCUAAAUUUGAUCAUGUGUUGAAAGAUCACGUGAGACGCAUUGACAGUGGAGCAGAGCAUAUCACAUACUUGGGGAAAACUAUUCAAAAUGAGUUGAUAACCUGUAUAAGUGAUAAAAUAGUGGAGACAAUGGUGUCUGAAAUCAAACAGUCAAAAUACUAUGCUGUAAUACUGGAUUGCACCCCAGAUGUAAGUCAUCAAGAACAGAUGUCUGUUGUUGUGCGCACUGUAAAUAUUGACAAAACACCUGAGGUAAAGGAGCACUUCUUGGGGUUUCUUCUAGCUCCUGAAUCUACUGGUCAAGGCUUGUCUGAACUAAUUAUUCAGAGGCUUGAAGAGUUGAACAUCCCCUUUGAGGACUGUAGGGGACAAUCAUAUGACAAUGGCGCAAACAUGAAAGGUGCAAAUAAAGGUGUACAGGCAAGGCUUUAAAAAAAAAUCCACGUGCUUUUUAUGUGCCUUGUGCAGCCCAUAGCUUAAAUCUAGUGGUUUCCGAUGCUACUAAAGGGUCCCUGGAUGCCACUUGCUUUUCUGGACACGUGGAAAAAUUAUAUAAACUCUUCUCAGCUUCCCCUCAAAGGUGGGCAAUCUUGAAGAAACAUGUGAACAUCACACUCAAGUCUUGGAGUGGGACACGAUGGGAAAGCCGGGUUAAAAGUAUUGAACCAUUACGCUACCAAGCAGACAAGGUAAGAGAGGCUUUGUUAGAAGUCAGGGAAAAAACUACUGACCCUACACUAAAAGUUGAGACCCACUCGCUUGCUGAAGAAAUCGGGUCAUUCAGAUUUCACAUUUGCUGUGUGGUUUGGUAUGACAUUCUCUCCAAGAUUAACAUCACAAGCAAACUACUUCAGUCAGCCAACAUGCAGUUGGAUGUUGCAGUGGGGCUCAUUCAGAAAAACAAAGAAAAUGUAAUCAGUUACAGGGCAACUGGUUUUAAAGAUGCACAGAUCUCAGCAAAAGAGACAUGUGAACAAAUGAACACUGAAGUAGUGCUGGAACAGAAGAGGUUGCGAACGACAAAAAGGCACUUUGCCUAUGAGAUGACUGAUGAGCCACAAUCUGAUGCCAUGAAGAGGCUGGAAGUAACCUUUUUUAAUGUUGUGGUAGACUGUACCAUCCAGUCUUUGGAGGACCGCUUUCAGUCCGUAGGGGAGGUUAGAAGCAUUUUUGGAGUGCUUUUCAACUUUAGCCAACUUGAUGCACAGGCAAGGAAGGACCAGUGUAAAGUUCUCAGAGACAAACUCACCUUUGGAGAACAGUUUGAUAUUGAUGGGAGUGCACUGGCCACAGAGAUGGAGAACCUUCCAGAACUCCCUAGAGCACAGAUGACCCCCUUUGAAUUGCUCACUUACCUCUCUCAAAAUGAGAUCUGUGAGUUGUACCCAAAUCUUUGGGUAGUUCUGCGGAUAGCCUGCACUCUUCCUGUGACUGUUGCAUCUGCAGAGCGGAGCUUU
Molecule: long non-coding RNA, 3553 nt
Organism: Nerophis lumbriciformis (worm pipefish)
Lineage: Eukaryota; Metazoa; Chordata; Actinopteri; Syngnathiformes; Syngnathidae
Source: RefSeq, a predicted model, not a curated record